Molecule: RNA transcript, 537 nt
Organism: Oreochromis aureus
Lineage: Eukaryota; Metazoa; Chordata; Actinopteri; Cichliformes; Cichlidae
Gene name: programmed cell death 1 ligand 1-like
Exons: 2
Source: RefSeq, a predicted model, not a curated record
AGGUCGCUUUACCCACAGAGAUUUAACUUUUUUAUUUUAUCUUUAGAUUAAUGAACAACUGACUUUUGUAAAACUUUUUAAGUGUAAUUAAACAGCAGGUUUCUUUUUACCACUGAAAAAACAGACCUCACACUUUUUUUUAAUCUUUCAAUGGAUAAACAUUCAACCCUGAUGAUCAGAGGAGUCUUCAAACCAGAAAAACAUCACAGCUGAGGUUGGACAGGACGUCACUCUGACAUGUCGAGCUCCAAAUAAUAACCCCAUCACUGUUUUAAAAUGGAGCAGAGCUGACCUGGGAGAUGAAUAUGUGCUUUUGUACAAGGAUGAGCAGUUUGAUCCAGCCAACCAGCAUCCAUCUUUUAAGAACCGGGUGGAUCUGCAGGACAGGAAUAUGAAUAAUGGAGACGUGUCUUUGAUUCUAAGCAAUGUGACGAUUAAUGACACUGGAACAUAUGAGUGUGUUGUCAUUCCCAGAGGCAGUUCGAAGCUCAUCAGCAUCGUCACCCUGAUUGUUGUUCCUCCAGGUGAGUGAGUAGA